Long non-coding RNA from Cygnus olor (mute swan), 3251 nucleotides. RefSeq lists it as uncharacterized. Lineage: Eukaryota; Metazoa; Chordata; Aves; Anseriformes; Anatidae. The transcript is spliced from 4 exons. The record is from RefSeq and is a predicted model, not a curated record.
AAUACCCUCGUGUUAUAUGAAUCCAAGAGCUUGGCAUCUGGAAAACGGAGACAUACAAAAUGGUAGGAACUGGUGUCAUUGAUGCAUCACUGACACCACUGAACUAAUCAGGGCUUGUUUAAUUAGGAGCACAUCUAUUUUGCCCAAUUGUUUUCCAUUUAUAUGUGGGAAUCCCUCAUAUAUUUUUUCAUUUUAGAAGGCCGUUUUGUAACUCUGAAGAGUUACAUGUUUUCUUCGUGUCCCCACGUUUAGUUUUUCAAACCUGAAACAAGUGCAAACACAGCUUUAAACUGUUACACACCCUCUCAAUUAAAUUAACCAAUAUUAAACCUCACAAAGGCAUCAAGUAGCAAUACCAGCAAGUUUCACUUGCGAUCAUUAGAGAAGCUCGAAAGCUUUCUUUCCAUGUUACCAGCUCUCUGAGUAAUGCAGUUUUGCGCAAGCUGGAGCCAGAAGUGGGAUAAAAUAAGGAGCCUGUGCUCAUGGGCAGUGUCCUGUGGUGGGUGAGCUGGUGGUUGUGGAGUCAGCUUUUUGGGCAAUCAGCAGGUGGGCAUUUGUCAUCUGGUUUCCUCAACCCUCCAGAGAACCAACCCUCUUCUCCAGCUGCUGAGAAAAAGCUGAAUCACCCGUGAUACCCCCAGUAAGAGCUGAUUAAAAAGAGGAUGUCCUUCUUAUAGCAGCUAUGUUGUUGUAAAAGUGAUGAUAUGGGAAGAGGUGCUACUGGACAGUAGUACUGAGACACCGAGUGGAAGCUGGUCAGUGCGGUGACUGAUGCAGAGUGGGAAGUCGGUGACAGCACUGCAGGCUGAAAGAUACUCCAGACUGGAGCCUGGCAAGGAGCUAGGAGCAUAGAGAAGAAAAAGAAGGAAGAAACUACAGAGAAGAAAGUGCAGAAGAGUUUCUAAUUCCUGUAGGAAUCUGUGCCUGACACAUUGGGUCUGCAGGAGCCCAAAGCUCUGCUCAGCCCCAUGAAACCUGGUUGCUUAAGUGCCAGGAUCCCUUCUGAGUAAAUCCCUCACCAUUUAGAGAAGGUGCUGGACUGAGUUGUGCAAGUACAUCUGUUCUCAGGGUGUCUCUGACAGUUGGGGGACUCAUUGUGACACAGGGUGAGCUGUGGUGAGGCUGAAUCGUGGUACUGAAGGAGAAGUGUCAUUGGGUCGUGUCACACGCCGUGAGGAUGUGUGGGGACCAUGGCCCAGGGCACAGAGAGCUUAAAGCCCAACCUUGUAGGAUGGAGGGUCACAGAAAAGUUGGGACUUAAUUUUUAAUGAUUUAUAGCUGUAUUUUUGGGGCAGAAUUCACUUUUUAUUUUUGCAUUUAGAUGUAGAAGCAUACAAAAUAUUUCAGAUGUUACCAUAAGAGCAAGCAGCCUUUCUGUGAGUGCUUCUGCAGGGGAAAGUCUGUUCUGUGAAAUUAGCCAGGGGGACCGAACUUUGUGGUGGUGGAGCAGCUUGGUCUGAGCCUUUUUUCCCCAGGAAAAUUGAUAAAGUUAAAUCCUGCCAUCUUUACAGGCUCUCUGGGCAACAGCAACAGGCUGCUGCCUCUGCCUGUGUGCAGUGAGCCUCCCGCUACGCGAGCUGAUCCUGCCACGCUCGGCAGAGCAAGUCUGAACUGGGCGAAAUGAGCAGGAAAUGCCAGUUUCCAGCCCUCCCACAUGGCCCCGGGCUACUUUGCACACUAACUUUUUCAGCCUCUGGAGUUUUUACAGAUUAAUCCCUCACCGUCCCCACACCGAUUUUGGAUCAGCGCAGCGCUGCUGCUCGUGUGAUUUUGGAGACGUUUGCUGCACCGUGUUUAUUGGUCUGCCUGCUCCUCUCUCCCCUUUUUGGUAAUCCUCCGCUCUCCUGCAGGUAUCAACACGUACAGGAAAGCUUCGUCACAACAAAUAAUAGCCAAACAUGCCACUUUUUUUUUUUUUUCCAUCCGUCUGAAAUAGCGUGCUUUCAGAUCAGUCCCGGCGAAAACCGUCGGUGGGGCUGCAAAGAGGUGAAAGGUUUGUGAGUGUAGGAUUUUGUGGAAAUAUAUACUUGUUUGGACUUGGCCCAAGAGCUUCGUUUACCCGCUUGACAGGUAACAAUUAGCGAGCAAUAGCUCUGCUGGCUGGAAUGCAGCUGCAAGGGCCAGCAGGCGCUGGGUUACCAGGUGGGCAGGUGUGGGUGCAGCGCCCAGAUAGGUAUGUGCAUGCACAGCAUUCCUGGGAAUCAGCUUUCCCCUAAAGAUGCAGCAAUGACUGCAGGGCACAAAAGGGCUGGGCUUAGCCCGGGCUCAAAGACGGUGAGCUGUUUGCAAGGUAAAGGAGUAAAGUAAACAGCGGGAGAGAAGACAAGCUGAGGAAAAGGCUGAGAAGCAGCUGCCCCCUUUUUUUUUUUUUUCCAUCGAGAGGAGAGUUUUGAUUCCUUCUCAAAAAAUGAGAAUGUCACGGGAGAUAAAAAAGGAGGGAAAAGAUGAGAUAGGGUAGAGCUGAUUUGAGGAAAAGUGCAUGUCUGUCUAAAAGUUACACUACCAGGUGGCCAGCAUGGCUCAGGUGCUGCCGAAGGAUUGAUCUGCAAGGGUUUCGUGCACUGCUCCCCAGCACUGGCACAAUGGCUUAUAGCAGACCUGAGAAGCUCACUUGGCAUGGUAUAAAUGUGAAAUGGGGAAACCAUGCAUCAGUUGGCUUAGAAACACUUAAACAGCUUAUGUGCUCAGCCCUCAGCUCUGCCCUUAGCAUGAAUCCAGGCGCUGAUGAGUUUAUCGAAUAAAAGCACUUUGUGAAAAACAGCCCCGUCUCCAGCUCCUGCCAGCACCCUGCAUCAGCCCCUCCGAUAGUCCAGUCCCCAGAGGGAACCCGUGGGAUAACUUAUGUGGACUGUCAGGGAAUUUGCAGGUGUUUUUAAAAUGGUUGAUAUUUCUUCCUCACGGCAAGUAACCUUCUGUUUUAGGAACAAAAUCAUUUGCUGAUUCUUUUCAUAUUUUGUUUUCAUAUUUUUGUUCCCCUUUGUGAACAGGCUUUUGCAUUUGUGCAUUUUCACUUGCAUGUUUCAUGCUUGACAAGCAAGCUAUUGUGUGACUGGAGAAGCCACAUCCUCUUUCCUGCUCUCUAUAGUUUCACCUGUAGACUUAGAAUAGUGCGUCCCAUCUUCUUAACCACGAGAGACAGAUGAUAAGUACUGCUAGUUAUGUACACAUACGUCAUUAUAAAUCUCUAUUUAUUCAUAAAUCUCUGUUUAUUCAUAUCACACCGUAAUUCACUGUAACCUUAUUUCACUAAA